Long non-coding RNA from Lagopus muta (rock ptarmigan), 1400 nucleotides. RefSeq lists it as uncharacterized. The transcript is spliced from 11 exons. The record is from RefSeq and is a predicted model, not a curated record. NCBI's taxonomy places the organism in Eukaryota, Metazoa, Chordata, Aves, Galliformes, Phasianidae.
CAGGCCUCAUUUAAAGAUUUGCAGUGGAGGUACGGGUAUCUUGCUGGAGAUCCUGAGGCCUUCUAAAGAAUUGAAGAGAGGAAAAUAAUUUCAUCUUUAAUAAUCUCCAGGAAGAUUCCUGUGCGUAAGGUAGCCCUGUUUUAAGCUGAACCAGAUGAUGCCUGGAGACUCCAGAAUCCACUAUUCUGUGAUUUUGUGUCAGCAAGAAACCACUGCUGCAAUGAAAACUAACUGAGCUGCAUUUGUGAGAUCUAACAGCAAGUCAAAGACUUCUGAAGUGGGUCUGAUUUUCUCCGUCACAUUGUCAACUCUGCGAAGCAGUGAUGAUUGUAAAUGUUGCACAUCAGAUAACGAUAUGCAUGAAAUAGAAUUACUGUUGUUCCUGCGAGACGCUCAGCUAACUUGCAAACUUGAUAAAGGAGUCAAAGGCUUAGGAAGACAUCACUGAGAAUAAGAGAGCACCAUUGACCUGCACUCUGGAUGGGCUUCCUGGGAAGGCAGCAUUAUGCCCCACAAGAGAUUCUGUAUUCCAUUUUACAAAGAUCUCAUCUGGAAUUUUCCACCCCUUACAGCAGUCAAAUUAUAACAGAAUGAUGACAUCAACUGAACAAAAUACAGACUGAUUAAGUGACUUUUAAGGAUGUAUUUCAAAGAGCAGAAAAGUCUGUAAUUGCAAAAAUCUGUGAUGCUGGACCAAAUUAAGUUCCUUUAUUCCUUGACUUCCAAAUUGUCAAGCAAUAUGUAGGAAAAUCACACCAAAAAAAGAGGAAACAUCAGUGGUUGAUUAAAUCAUCUGUAGAGGUAAAACAGCCCGGUUUUCUUCUGCCUACUCUCAAAUGGUAUAAUUUCUUCAUGUAUAUUUAAAUUUGCUGCUCUGUCCAGAUCCUUUUCACUUGGAUGACCUCUUUCUUGAGCUGUGACCCCCAGCAUUCACAGCUCCAGCUGGACCAGAGUAUCUUGACUUCACACUAAGAAGUCCCCCAGCUGAGUUAUGCCUCUUCGUCACGGAAUUCACCCCACCCCCUCCACUGACGCAAACUUCAGAGAGCAGCUCCAUGGAGGAUAACCUAAGUGCUGCCUGCAGAGCUAAGUCAUUCAAGAAGAUGUUAAACAAUACAGACACAAUAUUGACACCUGGAGUAUGCUGCUAAUGACAUGCCUCCGACUGCAACUUUCUGUGGCUGUGUAACAGAGCUCUGGGCUUGGAUGUUUAGCCAGUUUUCAAUCCAACUCACUGUCAUCGGUUUGUCUCUGGCUAUGUUGUGUGGGAGAAAGCUUUACUAAAUUCAAGGUGAUUUCAGAAUGAUCUCCUGGACAUAUUAUCCUGCUUUUCGGGAGCUCCAAGUCAUUGUCAUUAAGCUGACUCCUGUGAUUCUUUUAUCCUGUAUGCCAACUUUGCA